RNA transcript from Papaver somniferum (opium poppy), 1369 nucleotides. It is a transcript of the gene named transcription factor HY5-like, with no coding region annotated. The transcript has 6 exons. NCBI's taxonomy places the organism in Eukaryota, Viridiplantae, Streptophyta, Magnoliopsida, Ranunculales, Papaveraceae. The record is from RefSeq and is a predicted model, not a curated record.
UCUCUCUCUCUCUGGUCUUUUUCUCUAGAAAGUAAAUUCUCGAGAAACAAUACACAAACCACCAGUAUCACUCUGAUUACGUCUCUGAUCUGUUCUCUACCCACCAAAUCUCCCAUACUUCGGUGAAGUAUUAUCUCCGAACAUACAUUCUUUUAAGCUCUCCCAGCUGAGUAGUACUCUCCGCCAGUAUUACACGAGCUCCAUCCUGAAAGAGGCCAAAAUGAAACUACUUCCUCCUGAUCAUCACGGAAACCCAUCAUCAUCAUCAUCCUCAUCAAUGAGGUGCUAUCAACAGCAGCAACAACCACCGCAGAGUUCUUCGUGGAUGUUGAACUCCUCAUCAUCAGCAUCAUUUACUCAAAACAUAAAUAGUAAUAAUAAUAAUAAUGCCAAUAGCAAAGUAGAGGAGAGUGAUGAGGAAGAAGAUGACGAUGAGGACGAUGAUGAUCUAUUCACAGUACCUGAUAUGGAAGCAGCAGCAACAGCUAGACCAAGUACUACUGAUGCAUCUCCACUAACAAAAGCUACUACUACUGCUGUUGGUGAGGAAUCACAACAAAACAACAAUGCGGCAGCAUCUGGUAAGCAGCGUAAGAGAGGCCGGAAUCCUGCUGAUAGAGAGUACAGAAGGUUGAAGAGGUUGCUUAGGAACAGGGUUUCCGCCCAGCAAGCCCGUGAAAGGAAGAAGCUUUAUGUCACCGAGCUGGAAUCUAAAGCAACAGAUUUGCAGGACAAGAAUUCAAAGUUGGAGGAGAAGAUUUCGACUUUGACCAAUGAAAAUACCAUGCUACGGAAGGUCCUUAUGAACACUAGGCCUAAAGUCGACGAAACAGCUGACAUCAAACAUGAUCAUUCAGGCAAAACGUGACUCGUAAAGAAUGUACCAAGUAAUCAUGCCAUGAGUUGAGUAGUUUAUGCAAAGCAGCCUGCAAGGAUACAUGAUCAUGAUAUGAACUUGGGAUAGCUAGGAAAGAUAUCACAAUGAUAUCUCUGGACCCUUGAUGGAUGAGACGGUUACGACAGAUGGAUGCAGGCAUAAAGAUAGCACACUCUUGUUACUUUCAAAGGUAUUAAUGUGGAUGUUUCGAAUGGUCAUGGCUCACUGCUACAAUAUAUUGUUGUUGCUGGCAAACACGAGCCAGUGUGAAUAACAAUUUUAAGUUAAAUCCUAUAUACAUGAUGACAGGUGACAGGAGCUAUAUGGACACCCAGGGAUAACUGAACCUAACAGCAGUCAAUGGAAACAUAUGAUUAACUGAACCUAACAGCAGUCUUAUGUAAAUCACAUUGUAGUUAUAACAUUUUUGUUAUAUCCGAGUAACUUGUAUUCCUUUUCCUUGUUGUUUCAUGUCUCGUGUACUUCAAGUCA